UGUGGACAAAUGACUGGCCUUACAUCAAAGAAGAAAUCACAGGUGUCACCAGGAAAUGGAACACACCUACUUGACUCUCUUAUCCGUGCCUUCAGAUCGUGUUGAGGUGCUGAACACAGUCAUCUCGGUGUGAAACCAGCAGAAGAGAAUGCGUCCACCAUGUUUUACUUAGAACCCCAGUUAUAGACAUCACUGUUGGCUCAGUGCUUUGCUACCACAAACCACACUGUGAGGACCAUCCUUACCGUCCUGACUCUUUGCAGAUACAAAUAAAUUAAAGAUCUUGAGAUGAAAUUAGCCUGGAUUACCUGGAUGGGUCUUAAAUCCAAUGACAAGUGUCCUUCCAAGAGACAGAAGAGGGGAAGAUGCAGACAUACAGAAAAGAAGUGAUGUGAAGACAGAGGCAGCGAUAGAAGUGAUGCAGCCACAAGCCAAGGAAGGCCAAGGAAUGCUGGUGUCCAGUAGAAGCUGGAAGAGGCCAGGAAUGGAUUCUCCCCUCGAACUUCCAGAGGGAAUAUGGCUCUGCCAACACCUUAGUU
RNAcentral lists this long non-coding RNA (539 nucleotides) under Equus caballus (horse). RNAcentral's name for it is "lncRNA (ENSECAG00000056534.1)". Lineage: Eukaryota; Metazoa; Chordata; Mammalia; Perissodactyla; Equidae. The record is from RNAcentral.